UACGUAGGGGGCAGGCGUUAAUCGGAAUUACUGGGCGUAAAGCGUGCGUAGACGGUUGAGUAAGUCAGAUGUGAAAGCCCCGGGCUCAACCUGGGAAUUGCAUUUGAGACUGCGUAGCUAGGGUGCGGAAGAGGGAAGCGGAAUUUCCGGUGUAGCGGUGAAAUGCGUAGAUAUCGGAAGGAACACCAGUGGCGAAGGCGGCUCUCUGGUCCACAACUGACGCUGAGGUGCGAAAGCUAGGGGAGCAAACGGG
Molecule: ribosomal RNA, 253 nt
Filed under: uncultured bacterium
Lineage: Bacteria
Description: partial 16S ribosomal RNA
Rfam family: Bacterial small subunit ribosomal RNA
Source: RNAcentral